GACACAGCCUACACACAGACCCACAACAAACAGAGCCACCAGCCGCCGCAGACACGCCCGCCCAGGCCUGCAGAGCUGAGGCUAGGACAGGGAGCUUCCAGCCCUGCCUUUGCCUGGCCUUGGUCUCUGCGGGCCUGGGCCUCAGUUUCUCCUUCUGUAAAAUGGUGGAGAGGGCCAUGGAGGGAGGGGCGGUGGAUGAAAUUAUUCUCAGGUCGGCUUCUGCCUCUCCGCCCGCCCGGGAGGCGAGGCCGUGACUCCGGCCCUCCCUCGGGGCUGUUCCCCAGCUCUCCCCGCCGCCGGGACCCGGCCUGCCUUCCCGUGGUUGGCAGCGCACAGUAGGCGCGCAGGGCGCGUGGUCGGGGCGCGGAGCCGUGGGCGCCCAGGGCGAGGGGCCCCGCACCCCCUCAUGGUCACAUCGCCCCCCACCCCCACUUCGAGCGAGGCCGAGACAGAUUCUGUCUAAAGGAGAUCGCAGCUCAACAGCUGCCCUCCUCCAGAAAGCCUUCCCUGAACGCCCGCAUCUGAUGCCAGCCUCCUGGAGCUCCCACGACCCUCGGCUUCUGUCUGUUUCUGGAGCAUCUGCCCUGGAGCUCAGGGCCACCCGAUUUCUUCCUCGGGGGCUGGGACUCUCACAACAUCCCCCCCAGGAACUGCAGACAACCCGGGAAAGAUUGUAGGGGGCGGGAGUCAGCCUGGGCCAAUGAACGUGCCUCAAACUCACACAUCUGUGUCCUGGCUGGUGGAAGAGUCUGAACACCGUCUUCUCUCGGGCUGGGCCCGGAGGAACUGAAGCCUGACCCAGGAGAGGAAAGGGCCCACAGCUCACGGUGGCGGCUGGGUGGACUCGAAACUGACUCACACCGGGUCUUCGGUCCUGCCCAUGAGGAUCAAUGGGGCCCUGCGGGCCGCUGGCAAGCGGUUGGAUGUCCGACAGUUCAAGUCACUGCUGGCACGGUCUACCCAAAGAUGGCAUUGGAGCCCACAAGUGAGGGGUCUCCACCCUACGAGACCACCUCACCAGUUGCAAGUCCAGGUUGUCACCAGCGCUUGAUGUGCUGGCUCUAGGUCCGAGGUUCCAGCCACACCCUCCUCCUUGGGCGGGAUGAAUUUGCUAGAGCAGCUCACAGAAAACCCUUCAUCUGCUCGAUCACAGGUUGAAAUAAAAGAACACAACUCAAGAACAUCGGACGGGAGAGGGGCCCGGGCGCGGUGUGGGGGAGGGCCGGGGGGCCGCGUCAGCCCAGUUCUCGGACCCCAUCCUUUCUGGGUUCCUGUGGAGGCGCUAAGACUUCGGCAUGAUUGCUUAACGGCAGCGAUUAAAUUAUUGGCCACCGACAGCGGAUUCAACCUCCAGCCUCCCUUCCCUGCAGGUGGGAUGGGGUGGGGGCGGGACUCGUACUUCUCUUUGCUCAUUUGAUUGGUUCAUCUGGUGACCAGCCCCCAUUCUUAGGUGCGCUCCCCAAAGUCCCCUCAUUAACAUCACAAAAGACCCUCUUUGAAAAUUCCAAAAGGUUUUGGAGCGCUUUGCCACAGGUGAGGGUGAGACAAAGACCAAACAUACGUUUCUUUUUUUUAAAUUUGUUUAUUAAAGUCUCGUUG
This is a long non-coding RNA of Sus scrofa (pig), 1599 nucleotides long. RefSeq lists it as uncharacterized. NCBI's taxonomy places the organism in Eukaryota, Metazoa, Chordata, Mammalia, Artiodactyla, Suidae. The record is from RefSeq and is a predicted model, not a curated record.